ACUACGGGGUGCAGCAGUGAGGAAUAUUGGUCAAUGGGCGGAAGCCUGAACCAGCCAAGUAGCGUGCAGGAUGACGGCCCUACGGGUUGUAAACUGCUUUUAUACGGGAAUAACGCGCCUUACGUGUAGGGCUUUGCAUGUACCGUAUGAAUAAGGACCGGCUAAUUCCGUGCCAGCAGCCGCGGUAAUACGGAAGGUCCGGGCGUUAUCCGGAUUUAUUGGGUUUAAAGGGAGCGUAGGCCGCAUGUCAAGCGUGCUGUGAAAUGUCCGGGCUCAACCCGGGCCUUGCAGCGCGAACUGGCGUGCUUGAGUCCGCGGAAAGCAGGCGGAAGUCGUCGUGGAGCGGUGAAAUGCUUAGAUAUGACGAAGAACCCCGAUUGCGAAGGCAGCUUGCUGCAGCGGAACUGACGCUGAUGCUCGAAAGCGCGGGUAUCGAACAGGAUUAGAUACCCCUGUAGUC
RNAcentral lists this ribosomal RNA (460 nucleotides) under uncultured bacterium. Its description in RNAcentral is "partial 16S ribosomal RNA". It matches the Rfam family "Bacterial small subunit ribosomal RNA", at positions 338 to 795 of the family's 1533-position model. The record is from RNAcentral.